RNAcentral lists this ribosomal RNA (253 nucleotides) under uncultured bacterium. RNAcentral describes it as "partial 16S ribosomal RNA". It matches the Rfam family "Bacterial small subunit ribosomal RNA", at positions 524 to 776 of the family's 1533-position model. The record is from RNAcentral.
UACGGGGGGGGCAAGCGUUGUUCGGAAUUACUGGGCGUAAAGGGCUCGUAGGCGGCCAACUAAGUCAGACGUGAAAUCCCUCGGCUUAACCGGGGAACUGCCUCUGAUACUGGAUGGCUUGAGAUUGGGAGAGGGAUGCGGAAUUCCAGGUGUAGCGGUGAAAUGCGUAGAUAUCUGGAGGAACACCGGUGGCGAAGGCGGCAUCCUGGACCGGUAUUGACGCUGAGGCGCGAAAGCUAGGGGAGCAAACGGG